Molecule: ribosomal RNA, 253 nt
Filed under: uncultured bacterium
Lineage: Bacteria
Description: partial 16S ribosomal RNA
Rfam family: Bacterial small subunit ribosomal RNA
Source: RNAcentral
UACGAAGGGGGCUAGCGUUGCUCGGAAUCACUGGGCGUAAAGGGUGCGUAGGCGGGUCUUUAAGUCAGGGGUGAAAUCCUGGAGCUCAACUCCAGAACUGCCUUUGAUACUGAAGAUCUUGAGUUCGGGAGAGGUGAGUGGAACUGCGAGUGUAGAGGUGAAAUUCGUAGAUAUUCGCAAGAACACCAGUGGCGAAGGCGGCUCACUGGUCCGGUACUGACGCUGAGGUGCGAAAGCGUGGGGAGCGAACAGG